This 279-nucleotide ribosomal RNA is filed under the name uncultured bacterium. RNAcentral describes it as "partial 16S ribosomal RNA". It matches the Rfam family "Bacterial small subunit ribosomal RNA", at positions 505 to 784 of the family's 1533-position model. The record is from RNAcentral.
GUGCAGCCGCCGCGGUAAUACGGAGGGGGUUAGCGUUGUUCGGAAUUACUGGGCGUAAAGCGCGCGUAGGCGGAUUGGAAAGUUGGGGGUGAAAUCCCGAGGCUCAACCUCGGAACUGCCUCCAAAACUCCCAGUCUAGAGUUCGAGAGAGGUGAGUGGAAUUCCAAGUGUAGAGGUGAAGUUCGUAGAUAUUUGGAGGAACACCAGUGGCGAAGGCGGCUCACUGGCUCGAUACUGACGCUGAGGUGCGAAAGCUAGGGUAGCAAAAGGGAUUAGAUA